UAACGCGAAGAACCUUACCAAGGCUUGACAUACACGAGAACGGGCCAGAAAUGGUCAACUCUUUGGACACUCGUGAACAGGUGGUGCAUGGUUGUCGUCAGCUCGUGUCGUGAGAUGUUGGGUUAAGUCCCGCAACGAGCGCAACCCUCGUUUUAUGUUGCCAGCGCGUAAUGGCGGGAACUCAUAGGAGACUGCCGGGGUCAACUCGGAGGAAGGUGGGGAUGACGUCAAAUCAUCAUGCCCCUUAUGUCUUGGGCUUCACGCAUGCUACAAUGGCCGGUACAAAGGGCUGCAAUACCGUAAGGUGGAGCGAAUCCCAAAAAGCCGGUCUCAGUUCGGAUUGAGGUCUGCAACUCGACCUCAUGAAGUCGGAGUCGCUAGUAAUCGUGGAUCAGC
This 396-nucleotide ribosomal RNA is filed under the name uncultured bacterium. RNAcentral's name for it is "bacterial SSU rRNA". It matches the Rfam family "Bacterial small subunit ribosomal RNA", at positions 957 to 1353 of the family's 1533-position model. The record is from RNAcentral.